RNAcentral lists this ribosomal RNA (1922 nucleotides) under Escherichia coli. Its description in RNAcentral is "partial 23S ribosomal RNA". It matches the Rfam family "Bacterial large subunit ribosomal RNA", at positions 752 to 2656 of the family's 2925-position model. Lineage: Bacteria; Pseudomonadati; Pseudomonadota; Gammaproteobacteria; Enterobacterales; Enterobacteriaceae. The record is from RNAcentral.
UUGGGUAACACUAACUGGAGGACCGAACCGACUAAUGUUGAAAAAUUAGCGGAUGACUUGUGGCUGGGGGUGAAAGGCCAAUCAAACCGGGAGAUAGCUGGUUCUCCCCGAAAGCUAUUUAGGUAGCGCCUCGUGAAUUCAUCUCCGGGGGUAGAGCACUGUUUCGGCAAGGGGGUCAUCCCGACUUACCAACCCGAUGCAAACUGCGAAUACCGGAGAAUGUUAUCACGGGAGACACACGGCGGGUGCUAACGUCCGUCGUGAAGAGGGAAACAACCCAGACCGCCAGCUAAGGUCCCAAAGUCAUGGUUAAGUGGGAAACGAUGUGGGAAGGCCCAGACAGCCAGGAUGUUGGCUUAGAAGCAGCCAUCAUUUAAAGAAAGCGUAAUAGCUCACUGGUCGAGUCGGCCUGCGCGGAAGAUGUAACGGGGCUAAACCAUGCACCGAAGCUGCGGCAGCGACGCUGAUGCGUUGUUGGGUAGGGGAGCGUUCUGUAAGCCUGUGAAGGUGUGCUGUGAGGCAUGCUGGAGGUAUCAGAAGUGCGAAUGCUGACAUAAGUAACGAUAAAGCGGGUGAAAAGCCCGCUCGCCGGAAGACCAAGGGUUCCUGUCCAACGUUAAUCGGGGCAGGGUGAGUCGACCCCUAAGGCGAGGCCGAAAGGCGUAGUCGAUGGGAAACAGGUUAAUAUUCCUGUACUUGGUGUUACUGCGAAGGGGGGACGGAGAAGGCUAUGUUGGCCGGGCGACGGUUGUCCCGGUUUAAGCGUGUAGGCUGGUUUUCCAGGCAAAUCCGGAAAAUCAAGGCUGAGGCGUGAUGACGAGGCACUACGGUGCUGAAGCAACAAAUGCCCUGCUUCCAGGAAAAGCCUCUAAGCAUCAGGUAACAUCAAAUCGUACCCCAAACCGACACAGGUGGUCAGGUAGAGAAUACCAAGGCGCUUGAGAGAACUCGGGUGAAGGAACUAGGCAAAAUGGUGCCGUAACUUCGGGAGAAGGCACGCUGAUAUGUAGGUGAAGCGACUUGCUCGUGGAGCUGAAAUCAGUCGAAGAUACCAGCUGGCUGCAACUGUUUAUUAAAAACACAGCACUGUGCAAACACGAAAGUGGACGUAUACGGUGUGACGCCUGCCCGGUGCCGGAAGGUUAAUUGAUGGGGUCAGCGCAAGCGAAGCUCUUGAUCGAAGCCCCGGUAAACGGCGGCCGUAACUAUAACGGUCCUAAGGUAGCGAAAUUCCUUGUCGGGUAAGUUCCGACCUGCACGAAUGGCGUAAUGAUGGCCAGGCUGUCUCCACCCGAGACUCAGUGAAAUUGAACUCGCUGUGAAGAUGCAGUGUACCCGCGGCAAGACGGAAAGACCCCGUGAACCUUUACUAUAGCUUGACACUGAACAUUGAGCCUUGAUGUGUAGGAUAGGUGGGAGGCUUUGAAGUGUGGACGCCAGUCUGCAUGGAGCCGGCCUUGAAAUACCACCCUUUAAUGUUUGAUGUUCUAACGUUGACCCGUGAUCCGGGUUGCGGACAGUGUCUGGUGGGUAGUUUGACUGGGGCGGUCUCCUCCUAAAGAGUAACGGAGGAGCACGAAGGUUGGCUAAUCCUGGUCGGACAUCAGGAGGUUAGUGCAAUGGCAUAAGCCAGCUUGACUGCGAGCGUGACGGCGCGAGCAGGUGCGAAAGCAGGUCAUAGUGAUCCGGUGGUUCUGAAUGGAAGGGCCAUCGCUCAACGGAUAAAAGGUACUCCGGGGAUAACAGGCUGAUACCGCCCAAGAGUUCAUAUCGACGGCGGUGUUUGGCACCUCGAUGUCGGCUCAUCACAUCCUGGGGCUGAAGUAGGUCCCAAGGGUAUGGCUGUUCGCCAUUUAAAGUGGUACGCGAGCUGGGUUUAGAACGUCGUGAGACAGUUCGGUCCCUAUCUGCCGUGGGCGCUG